UGGGGAAUAUUGCACAAUGGGCGCAAGCCUGAUGCAGCAACGCCGCGUGAACGAUGAAGGUCUUCGGAUCGUAAAGUUCUGUUGCAGGGGAAGAUAAUGACGGUACCCUGUGAGGAAGCCCCGGCUAACUACGUGCCAGCAGCCGCGGUAAUACGUAGGGGGCUAGCGUUAUCCGGAUUUACUGGGCGUAAAGGGUGCGUAGGUGGUCUUUCAAGUCGGUGGUUAAAGGCUACGGCUCAACCGUAGUUAGCCUCCGAAACUGGAAGACUUGAGUGCAGGAGAGGAAAGUGGAAUUCCCAGUGUAGCGGUGAAAUGCGUAGAUAUUGGGAGGAACACCAGUAGCGAAGGCGGCUUUCUAGACUGAAACUGACACUGAGGCACGAAAGCGUGGGUAGCAAACAGG
RNAcentral lists this ribosomal RNA (403 nucleotides) under Verrucomicrobiota bacterium. RNAcentral describes it as "Verrucomicrobia bacterium partial 16S ribosomal RNA". It matches the Rfam family "Bacterial small subunit ribosomal RNA", at positions 355 to 776 of the family's 1533-position model. The record is from RNAcentral. Lineage: Bacteria; Pseudomonadati; Verrucomicrobiota.